GGGGGUGUAAAGGUUUCGACAGGGGUUGUGAGUUCUGGUAAGCGGGUAGUGGUGCGAAACCACUUUAAAAGUCGCAACUUUUAAAUAAUAAACGACAACGAUAAUGUAGUUGCAAUGGCUGCCUGAGUUGCAGUCCGUCACAUAGAGAAGUACCACGGUCUUUAUGUUGGCGUCAAGCAGUGGUGAACAUGAACAGAGUAGUGUCUUGGACUUUGUCAUGCAGUAAAGACUACCGUAACAUUAAACCUGUCAGUCGGUGUAAUGUGAGGGGAAUCCUAAAUGACUGCCUACACCCGUAGAAAUCCUCUAUAAGUGACUUCUGGACAGGGGUUCGACUCCCCUCACCUCCACCA
This 353-nucleotide transfer-messenger RNA is filed under the name Acutalibacteraceae. RNAcentral's name for it is "CAG-964 sp902762375 Standard tmRNA". It matches the Rfam family "transfer-messenger RNA". Rfam says of the family: Bacterial tmRNA, also known as 10Sa RNA or SsrA, is named for its dual tRNA and mRNA-like properties. Its role is to liberate the mRNA from a stalled ribosome. Lineage: Bacteria; Bacillati; Bacillota; Clostridia; Eubacteriales. The record is from RNAcentral. RNAcentral also lists the same sequence under 1 other name.